AACCUUAAUCGCCCUAAUCUUUAUUCGCUUUUCAUUUGAUUGUGUGAAAUAUGCUUCUAUCAAUAAUGUAUUAAGCGGUAUCGAUUACAGUUGCUUAGUUUAUUUUGGUGUAAAUGAUUUUUUCGUUGACAUGGAUUUCGUGCUCCAACAGGAGGGUUCAUCUUGGCAACUUGACUAUCUACUAUGAAUUUUAUAGAUUCUUAGUUUAUUUGAGGCCGAAUAAUUAAGGUUGUGUUAGAUUUCUUGAAUUUUAAAAACGAAUUUAGACGAUGAUUGCAGAUUUUUCGUAUUAGUGUGACCACUCCGCGAAAAAUGUUUAUUACUUUGGUAUUCUGUAGAUUAGGUUUUAACGACUUGUUUUGUUUUUUCUUCAAUAUAGACAGGACUUGGAGAUAACAUUGCUGGAUUGGAUGACCAUAUUAUUGACGGAUCUAGUUUUUGUGGCAUUUUUUCAUGCAUUUUCUACUUAACCUUAGAGAGGUGGCAUUUGUAUGAAGGGUCGUCAUUUAAGCAUGUAAAGUGAACGUCGAUAUGACAAAUAACGACUCGACAACUGGAGAAGUGCGGUGCCGUUAACGUCGUCUCUUCUAGGCUUCGUAUUUUCUGUAGAAAAGGUUAUCAUUUAAACUUAUUAAAUGAACAAGGAGACAAAGAAUAAGGACUCAAAAUGUGGAGAAGGGGAGCUCUGUUAAUGUUGCGUCUUCUUAGACUUGAAAAGUGCAAUUUUUAGAGAACAAAUGAAGUCCAAUUCACAUUGAUGUAUUUAGGAAUAAAACUUGAGCACCGUACAAUUAACCUCGACAUCGUCCAAAUGGUGAGAAAGGAAGAAUUAAAGUUCAGAUUGAUGGCAUUGAAACAGCCAAUGUCUUGUCUUGAUUUGCUGUUUUCGUCUUCAACUUGCAACAUUAUGCAGUUAAUUUUCAACAGAUGAGUGAGAGCCAGAGGAGAUUUAUAUGAAUUUCACUGAAACAAGUUUCUGCUAUGAUAUUCCUUCUGGAUUUAGUUUGCUUUUCACACAUGCAAACUUGGGAAGUUUACAGUAGUCUACUGUUUGCUAAGGUGAGAGUAUUUAAUAUAAUUACUAUUAAUUGCUCUUUAUUAAUCUGUUAC
Molecule: long non-coding RNA, 1110 nt
Organism: Agrilus planipennis (emerald ash borer)
Lineage: Eukaryota; Metazoa; Arthropoda; Insecta; Coleoptera; Buprestidae
Exons: 4
Source: RefSeq, a predicted model, not a curated record